AUGGAGCUAAACCUGUUCUUACGCAGAGCAUUCAGGUGGAACUUUACGGUAACCUAUGUGCAAACCCCCAUCAUCGGCAUGGACUUCCUAAGCCAUUACGGGUUGCUCGUGGACGCGCGAAACAAAAGCCUCACCGACACGGCAACUCGAAUGUCAUCGAGGGGAUACACCGACACGACAGACCAAGUGUCCGUUAAGACCAUUAUCGGCGAAUCACCAUAUCACCAACUCCUGGCAGAAUUCCCGGACCUCACCCGCCCGCCGAUUUUUGGAAAAGAGAAGACUCGACACGGUGUGGUACACCACAUCGAAACCACGCCUGGCCCGCCGGUCUACAACAAACCCCGCCGUCUUGCACCUGAUCGACUUAAACAGGUAAAGGAGGAAUUCGAGCUCAUGAUCGAGCAGGGCGUGAUGCGACUAUCGAAAAGCCCGUGGGCAUCACCUCUGCACGCAGUGCCGAAAAAGGACGGAAACCUGCGACCAUGCGGCGACUACCGUGCGUUGAACGCCCGCACCGUACCCGACAGGUACUCACCGCCACAUAUCGAAGACUUCGCGCAUCAUCUGCACGGUAAGCGUAUCUUCUCAAAGAUCGAUCUCGUCCGCGCGUACCAUCAAAUUCCGAUUGCGCCCGAGGACAUCGAAAAAACCGCGAUAGCAACACCGUUCGGUCUUUUCGAAGCAACAAACAUGAUGUUUGGACUUCGGAACGCCGCGCAAACAUGUCAGCGAUUCGUCGACGAAAUCACACGUGGACUCGAUUUCGUCUACGCGUACAUCGAUGAUUUUCUUAUAGCAUCGGACGACGAAGGUCAACAUCGCGAACAUUUGAAAAUUCUGUUCAACCGCCUCAAUAAUUACGGCGUCGUGAUAAACCCCACGAAAUGCGAAUUCGGCGUGCACGAAAUUACUUUCCUCGGAUACUCGGUAAACUCCGACGGAAUUAAACCGCCGCCGGAACGCGUCGAAGCGAUUAUGAAAUUGUCGAAACCCGCGAACGCUAAGCAGCUACGUAGGUACCUCGGUAUGAUAAACUUCUACCGACGUUUUAUACCGGGGGCCGCAAAAACACUCAAACCGCUCAAUGAUUUGUUAAAAGGCGCGAAAAAGGGCAACGCGCCUAUAGAGUGGUCGGAACAGUCGGAAAACAGCUUUCGCGAAUCGCAACGCGCUCUCGCGGAUGCCACGAUGCUGGCGCAUCCGAUACCAGGUGCGCCUAUCAGCCUCUCGGUAGAUGCGUCCGACUACGCAGUGGGAGCGGUAUUACAACAACACGCGAAUAGCGAAUUGCAACCGCUAGGGUUCGCAACGAAAUCUCUGACCCCGGCGCAGCAAAAAUAUAGCGCGUACGAUCGCGAACUACUCGCAAUAUACACCGCAAUCAAACACUUCCGACACGCUUUAGAAGGCAGAAACUUCGUAAUAUAUACCGACCACAAACCUCUUACCUACGCGUUCAGACAAAAGUUAGAAAAGUGUUCGCCGCGACAAUUUCGAUACCUAGACUACAUCGGUCAAUUCAGCACCGAUAUACGUUACAUAAAGGGGCUAGAUAAUAAUGUAGCCGACGCUCUGUCACGCAUCGAAGCAAUAGGGAAGGCCGUGGACCAUCAAACUCUCGCCGCCGCGCAAGAAAACGACAACGAACUAAGCGAUAUCGUCAACUCCGAUCGUUUGAAACCCGCUUUUAUUGUAUCCGACCAUAUUGAACAGCAACUAGAAACCAGCGCAGAAACCCUCGUUACGUUUAUACCGCGUAAAACCACAACUACGCAAAACGCCGAGCAGGCACAGCAAAGCGAAGAUGACUCAGGAGUUCAUCACACCACGCGCACGGGCAGGAAAGUUCGCUUUCCUGAUCGCUUUCAGGCGGGUCUGCGAUAA
Bombus terrestris (buff-tailed bumblebee) is the source of this 1887-nucleotide long non-coding RNA. RefSeq annotates it as retrovirus-related Pol polyprotein from transposon 17.6. NCBI's taxonomy places the organism in Eukaryota, Metazoa, Arthropoda, Insecta, Hymenoptera, Apidae. The transcript has 2 exons. The record is from RefSeq and is a predicted model, not a curated record.